This 233-nucleotide ribosomal RNA is filed under the name uncultured bacterium. RNAcentral describes it as "partial 16S ribosomal RNA". It matches the Rfam family "Bacterial small subunit ribosomal RNA", at positions 794 to 1024 of the family's 1533-position model. The record is from RNAcentral.
UCCACGCCCUAAACGAUGAACACUAGUCGUCGGGAUGCUAGUCAUCUCGGUGAUGCACUUAACAGAUUAAGUGUUCCGCCUGGGGAGUACGGUCGCAAGAUUAAAACUCAAAGGAAUAGACGGGGACCCGCACAAGUGGUGGAGCAUGUGGUUUAAUUCGAAAAUACGCGAAGAACCUUACCUGGGGAUGACAUGUACGUGGUAGCGAAGCGAAAGCGGAGCGACCCUUAGGG